Long non-coding RNA from Cygnus olor (mute swan), 1818 nucleotides. RefSeq lists it as uncharacterized. The transcript has 3 exons. The record is from RefSeq and is a predicted model, not a curated record. Lineage: Eukaryota; Metazoa; Chordata; Aves; Anseriformes; Anatidae.
CUGAGAAUGACUGACUCGCCUCCCUUCCCAAAAAGUUGAGGAAAAAGCUCUCUGUGACUACAAACAUUUCCAAGAGACGUGCUGCUGUUUUUUCCUCUUGGUCACCGCAGCUCAAAGAACAAGAAGGGAGGUAUUCCGUUUGUCUGGAAGUAAGGCCUGCCACGCUGGGGAAAACCUUCAAGUCUCACUUGAAAAACCACUAAAAGUCACACAACACAUCAGGAAAAGGGAAUAAACAAAAAAGCAACCCAAGUCAUUUUAUCCAUGGUCCCCCUAAACUGGCUAUUACACCUCUGACUCGGGUUCUCUCACCGCUCACCCCCAGGGCUGGGGCUGCUCCCCACCCUUCCUGGCUGAUGGGUGGUCUCGUGGCUGCCCCCCUGGUAAGGACACCUGAGAGCAGGGUGCUGCAGGUGGGAACGCAGGAGAAGGCCCCUGACAACUUGGGGGCGGUGGGGAAAUGGGUCCAACAACCCACAGAAGGUGAGAGUUUGGCACAUCCAGGUCUCCCCUAAGUGGCGAUGCUUCUUCCAAAAUAUGGGUGAUUUUUUUCGAAUGCUCAGAAACACACACAUUGUUGCUGGUGUACCUGGGGGUGGAAUAACGCAGCUUGCUGGCAUAUGGUUCUCUACCUUCUUCUGCUCUAGCUACACUUCUAAUCAGGCCACCUUGGUAACACCCAGGAAUUGUGAUCUCCUCCGGCCUGCUGCAUACACAACCUUUCCUUGUUUCGGCACAAAGGAGCACGUUCUGGCUGGAUCUCCAUCAUGGGAGAGUCUCUGGCUUAAGCUAAGCACCCUGCUCUUUUCCAUGCAUCUCACAGUUUUUAGGCUAGUGGGGUGUUUGGAGCAGGGACUGCAGGAGGAAUGGAGGAUGUUACAAGCAAGCAGCUUGUAGCAGGUGGAUAUUCACUCUUGGGUGGGUCUGCUCCUCAAGAAAAAAGACUGCUCAAGGAUGGGUGGCGUUCACAAGUAGCUUCCUUUGCCUUUCUGGAUCUGUUUGCUGUGUUUGAUUACUUCUAAUAAAUUAUUUUUCUUCCACAACUCUGUUCAACCACUUUUUUAGCCCAUCCUAACUGUUGGCACAUACCAUCUCCUGGGACAAGGAGUCCAAGCACCUUACUACCCACUGUAGCACCUCCAUUUGACCUCAACCUGCCAUGAACAUCACCAGCUGCCUGAGAUCGGGACAUAUUGCCUACUGUUGUGACCCCAACAAAUGGGAGGCCAGGUGUUAAAAACAAUCAAGAAGCCAAACUGCAAAGCUUUAAACUUCCCCUGCACUCCGGAGUUCAAUCUGGUGGUUAGGAGAAAGCACACACCUCAAUUCAAACCUCCAAGAACUGGACUGAGCUUUGAGUUAAAGAUCGUAAGCUUGAUUAGCUCUUGGUGAGCGUGCGAGGGUUUGGGGGGCACGUGGAGGGGUUAAGUGUGAAGGUCAGCGUUAGAGACAAUAUUAAAUAAAACAUAGGAGCCAAAUGACUUGCAGUGCAGCGGCAGCAACAUAUCCCAGGCAGGAGCAACGGUGAACAUGGAGGUCAAGUACCAUAGCAGGGAGUUUUCAUUUCCCCAAAACAAACUGCUCUUUUGUGUCUCAGCUUCAAAGAAGAUGUCACUAGAUUGCGAGAGCUCUUCACCUGCCACAUCCCUCUCAUUACUGAAAUGAAAUAAAUGGCAACAGCAUGAAAACAGCAACUCAAGCAAGAGAAAGACAGGUCGACAGUGAGGAAAAGGGAGGGGGGACAAGGUGCGAGCGGAGGGCUUGGCAGGGUGGAGAAUUAGGGCAAUUACCAUUUCUGAGAAAAUGCCAGAAAUACAA